UGAAAGAUGAGCAUGCGUCCCAUUAGCUAGUUGGUAAGGUAACGCUUACCAAGGCAACGAGUGGGUAGGGGUCCUGAGAGGGAGAUCCCCCCACACUGGUACUGAGACACGGACCAGACUCCUACGGGAGGCAGCAGUGGGGAAUUUUCCGCAAUGGGCGAAAGCCUGACGGAGCAAUACCGCGUGAGGGAAGAAUGCCUAUGGGUUGUAAACCUCUUUUUCAGGGAGGAAUAAAAUGACGUGUACCUGAAGAAUAAGCAUCGGCUAACUCCGUG
RNAcentral lists this ribosomal RNA (275 nucleotides) under uncultured bacterium. RNAcentral describes it as "partial 16S ribosomal RNA". It matches the Rfam family "Bacterial small subunit ribosomal RNA", at positions 219 to 507 of the family's 1533-position model. The record is from RNAcentral.